RNAcentral lists this transfer RNA (87 nucleotides) under Megalodesulfovibrio paquesii. RNAcentral's name for it is "tRNA-Leu". It matches the Rfam family "tRNA". From Rfam's summary of the family: Transfer RNA (tRNA) molecules are approximately 80 nucleotides in length. Their secondary structure includes four short double-helical elements and three loops (D, anti-codon, and T loops). The record is from RNAcentral. RNAcentral also lists the same sequence under 2 other names. Lineage: Bacteria; Pseudomonadati; Thermodesulfobacteriota; Desulfovibrionia; Desulfovibrionales; Desulfovibrionaceae.
GCCGAAGUGGUGGAAUUGGUAGACACGCUAUCUUGAGGGGGUAGUGGACACCUGUCCGUAGGAGUUCGAGUCUCCUCUUCGGCACCA